GAUGAACGCUGGCGGCGUGCUUAACACAUGCAAGUCGAACGAAGCACCUCUCCCGAAGAUUGACACAGCUUGCUGUAGAUUGAUUCAUUUGAGGUGACUGAGUGGCGGACGGGUGAGUAACGCGUGGGUAACCUGCCUCAUAGAGGGGGACAACAGUUGGAAACGACUGCUAAUACCGCAUAGUAAGAAGAAUUCGCAUGUUUUCUUCUUGAAAGAUUUAUCGCUAUGAGAUGGACCCGCGUCUGAUUAGCUAGUUGGUAAGGUAACGGCUUACCAAGGCGACGAUCCGUAGCCGGCUUGAGAGAGUGAACGGCCACAUUGGGACUGAGACACGGCCCAAACUCCUACGGGAGGCAGCAGUGGGGAAUAUUGCACAAUGGGGGAAACCCUGAUGCAGCGACGCCGCGUGAGUGAAGAAGUAUUUCGGUAUGUAAAGCUCUAUCAGCAGGGAAGAUAAUGACGGUACCUGACUAAGAAGCCCCGGCUAACUACGUG
RNAcentral lists this ribosomal RNA (495 nucleotides) under uncultured bacterium. RNAcentral's name for it is "partial 16S ribosomal RNA". It matches the Rfam family "Bacterial small subunit ribosomal RNA", at positions 28 to 507 of the family's 1533-position model. The record is from RNAcentral.